RNAcentral lists this ribosomal RNA (520 nucleotides) under Enterococcus faecium. RNAcentral's name for it is "bacterial SSU rRNA". It matches the Rfam family "Bacterial small subunit ribosomal RNA", at positions 683 to 1272 of the family's 1533-position model. Lineage: Bacteria; Bacillati; Bacillota; Bacilli; Lactobacillales; Enterococcaceae. The record is from RNAcentral.
GAAAUGCGUAGAUAUUGGGAGGAACACCAGGGGGAAGGGCGGCUCUCUUGUAACUGACGCCUGAGGCGAAAGCGGGAGCAAACAGGAUUAGAUACCCUGGUAGUCCACGCCGUAAACGAUGAGUGCUAAGGUUGGAGGGCUUCGCCCUUGGCAGUAACGCAUUAAGCAUCCGAGUACGCCCCAAGUAAAACUAAAAGAAAUUGGGGGGCCCCCACAAGCGGUGGAGCAUGUGGUUUUAUUUGGAAGCAACGGGAAGACCCUUCCCAGUCUUGCUCCUUGACCCCUAGAGAUAGAGCUUCCCCCGGGGGGCAAAGCACAGGGCGCAUGGUUCUCAGCUCGUCGAGAUUUGGGUUAAUCCCGACGGGGGACCCUUUUUUCCCCAUCAUUCAGCGGCACUCUACAAGACUCCAAACCGGAGGAAGGUGGGGAUGACGUCAAAUCAUCAUGCCCUAUGACCUGGGCUACACACGUGCUACAAUGGGAAGUACAAAGAGUUAGGAAGUCCCGAGGGUUAGUUAAU